Maylandia zebra (zebra mbuna) is the source of this 986-nucleotide non-coding RNA. Lineage: Eukaryota; Metazoa; Chordata; Actinopteri; Cichliformes; Cichlidae. The record is from RefSeq and is a predicted model, not a curated record.
ACUGAGCAGAGAGGAUCGGUUCUCUGUGUGCGCACUGCUGAGAAACACAAGCUCAUUUCUGCUGUUUCAUGAAAAGUGUUAUGGAGGAACAAGAAGUUCAGCCUCUAAACUCUCAGCGUGAGGACUGAGUGAAGAGUUUCAGAGCAGAGAGUUUUGGCUCACAGCUUUUAGCGUCUACACAAAGAGACGAUUACGCACUUGAUCUGAGAACAUCUCCACCUCCUACAAACAAACUCUCCUACGAGCAGCUGUCACAACCACAACAGGCAGAAGACUGGAUCCUGCUGCAGGUUAAUGAUUGAUCUAAAGGCAGCUGACCUUUGAGCAGGAACUUGUGAGUCUUUUAUUGUGUUUAAUGCUCACAGUGCUGAAGCCUGCAGACACACCCACAUCAUAUUAUUUGUUCUCAGGGUUGUUCGGCGUGGUGGAGUGGGAACAGAAACUUUCUGCAGGUUAAUUAUUGAUCAAACUAAAGUCAUAUUAAGGAGCUACUGGCACGGAGUCAGAGCAGAGCUCAGAAAUCUGAAAUAUAUCAAAGUAUAUUAAAGUUAGAGUUUAGAGAACACUGUUUGGUUAGCUGCCUCAAAGGCAGAUGACUCUCAAUAUCACAAGAUCAGGUGAAAUUUCAGACCAAGGGAAAAUCACUGGGAUUAUCUGUGAAGAGGCAGAAAAGCAUAGACCUCGUCUACCUUAUAGACAUUUUGAAAAGAGACGCCUACAGGCUAUCUACUGUUCAAAAGUGAAUUGUUAUACACAGUGCAGCAGCUGACCGUUGACCUGUGAGCUUCAGCCUCUUUGCUGGUGUGAAGUGUUUAAUGUGACGCAGUCUGCAGACACAGACGACUGCUGACGGAGAAGAAGCAGAGGAUUUUCUCUGUUUCUACACAGACCUGGUCCAGACAGCAGAGAGCUGCAGAGUGAAGACGUUCAUUGGAAGAAGCUGAGUAGAAAGUGUGUGUGAGCUGAAUUGAGCAGCAUGGAUCAGU